RNAcentral lists this transfer RNA (74 nucleotides) under uncultured Leptolyngbya sp. RNAcentral describes it as "tRNA-Arg-TCG". It matches the Rfam family "tRNA". From Rfam's summary of the family: Transfer RNA (tRNA) molecules are approximately 80 nucleotides in length. Their secondary structure includes four short double-helical elements and three loops (D, anti-codon, and T loops). Further hydrogen bonds mediate the characteristic L-shaped molecular structure. tRNAs have two regions of fundamental functional importance: the anti-codon, which is responsible for specific mRNA codon recognition, and the 3' end, to which the tRNAs corresponding amino acid is attached (by aminoacyl-tRNA synthetases). tRNAs cope with the degeneracy of the genetic code in two manners: having more than one tRNA (with a specific anti-codon) for a particular amino acid; and 'wobble' base-pairing, i.e. permitting non-standard base-pairing at the 3rd anti-codon position. The record is from RNAcentral. Lineage: Bacteria; Bacillati; Cyanobacteriota; Cyanophyceae; Leptolyngbyales; Leptolyngbyaceae.
GAGGAUGUAGCUAAGUGGGACAGAGCGCCUGUCUUCGAAACAGGAAGUCACAGGUUCAAUCCCUGCCAUCCUCG